This 473-nucleotide long non-coding RNA is filed under the name Rattus norvegicus (Norway rat). RNAcentral describes it as "long non-coding RNA NONRATT027090". Lineage: Eukaryota; Metazoa; Chordata; Mammalia; Rodentia; Muridae. The record is from RNAcentral.
CCUUGGUCCGCCCCUAUCCGUUAGGUGCCUGGAGGUGGUGCACUUGGGGCUUCCCCGGGGCCCCAGGUUCCCAGUCCUUAAUGGUCCUUAACCCACUGUGAUGACUUCCUAGGCCUUGUGGAAAGGGAAGGAGAAGGAAUGGCUGCUAGUGGCUCACAGAGAAGCCAGACCCCUGGAAUCCUCAGGGGGAGCCUUCGGUGGGGCCAGUAACCCCGAGGUCCUGUCCUUGGAGGCAGGAGACACCCACCCCCAGGGGAUAUAGAGCAGCCCUCCCUCCUCACCCCUCACCUCAGGGCCACUAGAUGACCCUGGGGUGAUGGUGGACCCCCACAUUCACAGGCCCCCGGCCCCCUGGGAAGGGGGCUCUUUGACCCUUUGGGGGUCCGUGGACUCACUGAUGCCCCCCUGGGGGCCCGGGGAGUCCAACAAUGACAUUGCAAAAAGGUUUCUUUUUACAAAAGAAAAAGGAAAAA